RNAcentral lists this transfer RNA (63 nucleotides) under Arcotheres purpureus. Its description in RNAcentral is "tRNA-His". The record is from RNAcentral. Lineage: Eukaryota; Metazoa; Arthropoda; Malacostraca; Decapoda; Pinnotheridae.
ACUUGAGUAGUUUAAGGAAAAUGUAAAUUUGUGGAGUUUAAGAUGUAAUUUUUACCUUAGGUA